This 104-nucleotide ribosomal RNA is filed under the name Gymnopilus cf. rugulosus Verma M130. RNAcentral's name for it is "partial 28S ribosomal RNA". Lineage: Eukaryota; Fungi; Basidiomycota; Agaricomycetes; Agaricales; Galerinaceae. The record is from RNAcentral.
AUGUGCUGCUUCUAAUCGUCCUUUCAGGACAAUUAUUGACCAUUUUGACCUCAAAUCAGGUAGGAUUACCCGCUGAACUUAAGCAUAUCAAUAAGCGGAGGGGG